CAAUUUGCUACUGGUGGUACAACAAAUAAAUUUGCUGCUGGGUGCAAGUCAAGGUGUUGUUGUGUUAAGUGCUUCUACUAUUGUCAAGAGGAUAAAAGUGAAGGUUUAUAGAAGUACCCAAUUUGCUACUACAAGUAUUGAAGGCUUUAGUUCAAAUGAUGUUAUUGCCCCAAGGACUAGAUUGAAGCAUGCAAGCCCUAAGGGAAAGGGAACAAUAGCUUCUGGA
RNAcentral lists this long non-coding RNA (226 nucleotides) under Theobroma cacao (cacao). Its description in RNAcentral is "long non-coding RNA (TCAC_LNC000135)". The record is from RNAcentral. Lineage: Eukaryota; Viridiplantae; Streptophyta; Magnoliopsida; Malvales; Malvaceae.